AAGCAUCAGGGGCCUGUAUCCAGGAGCCUGACAGAGGUAUAAAACACAAACAUUACCUGUUAGAAAGCAGAGCUCAGGUAUCAGGUGGGCGAGCUGAGCCUCACUGUUGUCAUUUCUCUUCUUCUUUAACAGACUAACAAGCAUGGGCUGAUUCAGGUCCGAUACAGUAAUAUCAUACUGCUAUAAAAUGCAAGAUUAAUAAGUAAAAAGUUAACAUGGAAGCACCGCCAGAGCAAAAAUGGGUGUUUGAAGAACUUACUCCCAUGAUGCGGCAGUCAAGGAGAUGCACAGUAGAGGAUCAAAAAGCUGACAACUUGGCCUCCCCUGGGUCGCUUCCAGGGGAGCGCGGCUUCACCGCUCGAACCAGCUGGCCAAGUUCCGUAUGCUCUUGGGCCGGUCCCCAGCCCUCUGUACAGCCUGGCACACCCGGCACCAAGGCUCGUCCCAGAAGGAGGUGAUGUGGACAGCGUAGCUCCGGCGCCAGUGGAAGUAGCGGCGAUAGACCGCGGGGUUGCGGUCGAGGAAAAGCAGGUACGAGGCCAGGGAGGAGGCACUUGGGAAGUCGUCCACGUGGAUGAAGGCGCCGCGGGGCACAAAGCGCUCGUAGUUGGCACGGUCUGGGCCCAGCACCACCGGCACCGCCCCAGCGAGCAACGCGUUGCGCCAGAGCUUCUCGGUGAUAUAAUCCAGGUGCUGCGAGUUCUCGAAAGCCAGGUAGAACUUGUAGCGGGCCACUGUGUGCAGGAGC
Molecule: long non-coding RNA, 748 nt
Filed under: Homo sapiens (human)
Lineage: Eukaryota; Metazoa; Chordata; Mammalia; Primates; Hominidae
Description: HSALNT0179872
Source: RNAcentral